This 253-nucleotide ribosomal RNA is filed under the name uncultured bacterium. RNAcentral describes it as "partial 16S ribosomal RNA". It matches the Rfam family "Bacterial small subunit ribosomal RNA", at positions 524 to 776 of the family's 1533-position model. The record is from RNAcentral.
UACGUAGGUGGCUAGCGUUGUCCGGAAUCAUUGGGCGUAAAGCGCGUGUAGGCGGCCCGGUAAGUCCGCUGUGAAAGUCGGGGGCUCAACCCUCGAAAGCCGGUGGAUACUGUCGGGCUCGAGUGCGGAAGAGGCGAGUGGAAUUCCUGGUGUAGCGGUAAAAUGCGCAGAUAUCAGGAGGAACACCGAUUGCGAAGGCAGCUCGCUGGGACGUUACUGACGCUGAGACGCGAAAGCGUGGGGAGCAAACAGG